RNAcentral lists this ribosomal RNA (300 nucleotides) under Triticum aestivum (bread wheat). RNAcentral describes it as "partial small subunit ribosomal RNA". The record is from RNAcentral. Lineage: Eukaryota; Viridiplantae; Streptophyta; Magnoliopsida; Poales; Poaceae.
UACAAUAUGCCGUUCGCGCCCUUCAUCGGAAUAAACCGACAUGGCCAGUCUUUCAUGCUGGGUUGCGCAUUUGUGAGACAGGAGUUGGCAUCGAUCUUUGAUUGGGUCUUCCGAGCAUUCCUAGAGGCUAUGGAUGGCAAACCUCCUGACAACUUCAUAACCGAUCAGGAUGGUGCAAUGAGGCAGUCAAUACAGAGCAUCUUUCCAUCCACAGUGCAUCGCUGUUGUCGAUGGCACAUCAUGAAAAAGGGUCAAGAAAAAGUUGGUUGGCUGUUGUGCCGGAAUCCAGGGCUCUCUGAU